This 253-nucleotide ribosomal RNA is filed under the name uncultured bacterium. RNAcentral's name for it is "partial 16S ribosomal RNA". It matches the Rfam family "Bacterial small subunit ribosomal RNA", at positions 524 to 776 of the family's 1533-position model. The record is from RNAcentral.
GACGUAGGGCGCGAGCGUUGUCCGGAUUUAUUGGGCGUAAAGAGCUCGUAGGCGGCUUGUCGCGUCGUCCGUGAAAACCUGCGGCUCAACUGCAGGCUGGCGGUCGAUACGGGCAGGCUGGAGUUCGGUAGGGGAGACUGGAAUUCCUGGUGUAGCGGUGAAAUGCGCAGAUAUCAGGAAGAACACCCGUGGCGAAGGCGGCUCUCUGGGACGGUACUGACGCUGAGACGCGAAAGCGUGGGGAGCGAACAGG